GAUGAACGCUGGCGGCGUGCCUAAUACAUGCAAGUCGAGCGAACAGACGAGGAGCUUGCUCCUCUGACGUUAGCGGCGGACGGGGGAGUAACACGUGGAUAACCUACCUAUAAGACUGGGAUAACUUCGGGAAACCGGAGCUAAUACCGGAUAAUAUAUUGAACCGCAUGGUUCAAUAGUGAAAGACGGUUUUGCUGUCACUUAUAGAUGGAUCCGUGCCGCAUUAGCUAGUUGGUAAGGUAACGGCUUACCAAGGCAACGAUGCGUAGCCGACCUGAGAGGGUGAUCGGCCACACUGGAACUGAGACACGGUCCAGACUCCUACGGGAGGCAGCAGUAGGGAAUCUUCCGCAAUGGGCGAAAGCCUGACGGAGCAACGCCGCGUGAGUGAUGAAGGUCUUCGGAUCGUAAAACUCUGUUAUUAGGGAAGAACAAAUGUGUAAGUAACUAUGCACGUCUUGACGGUACCUAAUCAGAAAGCCACGGCUAACUACGUG
RNAcentral lists this ribosomal RNA (497 nucleotides) under uncultured bacterium. RNAcentral describes it as "partial 16S ribosomal RNA". It matches the Rfam family "Bacterial small subunit ribosomal RNA", at positions 28 to 507 of the family's 1533-position model. The record is from RNAcentral.